This 204-nucleotide ribosomal RNA is filed under the name uncultured prokaryote. Its description in RNAcentral is "partial 16S ribosomal RNA". It matches the Rfam family "Bacterial small subunit ribosomal RNA", at positions 525 to 758 of the family's 1533-position model. The record is from RNAcentral.
ACGUAAAAGACUAGUGUUAUUCAUCUUUAAUAGGUUUAAAGGGUACCUAGACGGUAUAAUUAGUCCAAAAUAGGAUACGAUUUUACUAGAGUUAUAUAGGAGGAGGUGAGUAUUCAUGCAGUAGAGAUGAAAUUCGUUGAUAGUAUGAAGACUGAUAAAGGCGAAGGCGACCUUUUAUCUAAUAACUGACGUUGAGGGACGAAG